Molecule: ribosomal RNA, 881 nt
Filed under: uncultured bacterium
Lineage: Bacteria
Description: bacterial SSU rRNA
Rfam family: Bacterial small subunit ribosomal RNA
Source: RNAcentral
AGUGGGUACGGGCAGACUAGAGUGCGGUAGGGGAGAUUGGAAUUCCUGGUGUAGCGGUGGAAUGCGCAGAUAUCAGGAGGAACACCGAUGGCGAAGGCAGAUCUCUGGGCCGUAACUGACGCUGAGGAGCGAAAGGGUGGGGAGCAAACAGGCUUAGAUACCCUGGUAGUCCACCCCGUAAACGUUGGGAACUAGUUGUGGGGUCCAUUCCACGGAUUCCGUGACGCAGCUAACGCAUUAAGUUCCCCGCCUGGGGAGUACGGCCGCAAGGCUAAAACUCAAAGGAAUUGACGGGGACCCGCACAAGCGGCGGAGCAUGCGGAUUAAUUCGAUGCAACGCGAAGAACCUUACCAAGGCUUGACAUAUACGAGAACACCGUGGAAACACGGGACUCUUUGGACACUCGUAAACAGGUGGUGCAUGGUUGUCGUCAGCUCGUGUCGUGAGAUGUUGGGUUAAGUCCCGCAACGAGCGCAACCCUCGUUCUAUGUUGCCAGCACGUAAUGGUGGGAACUCAUGGGAUACUGCCGGGGUCAACUCGGAGGAAGGUGGGGAUGACGUCAAAUCAUCAUGCCCCUUAUGUCUUGGGCUUCACGCAUGCUACAAUGGCCGGUACAAAGGGCUGCAAUACCGUAAGGUGGAGCGAAUCCCAAAAAGCCGGUCCCAGUUCGGAUUGAGGUCUGCAACUCGACCUCAUGAAGUCGGAGUCGCUAGUAAUCGCAGAUCAGCAACGCUGCGGUGAAUACGUUCCCGGGUCUUGUACACACCGCCCGUCAAGUCAUGAAAGUCGGUAACACCUGAAGCCGGUGGCCCAACCCUUGUGGAGGGAGCCGUCGAAGGUGGGAUCGGUAAUUAGGACUAAGUCGUAACAAGGUAACCA